CGGGCGCCGCUUGCUGCCUGAGCCAACCCCGAGCCGCCCCGAGCCGGGCGGAGGCGGCGAACGCAGUGCGGAACCCGGGGUCCUCUCCGGAGGCCGUCGUCUCUCCCGCCCCGUGCCCUGUGCACGCCCGGCAGCCCCCGACCCCGUACCGUAGCAGAACGGUUCGUUUAGUUUUUUUUAGAAAAACCAAGUGUCUUUAUUCCUCGAUCGUUUAGUAUGGCGGUGGGCGGCGCCCGCGCGGGGGAGCCUGGAGCCCAGGGAAUCGACCUGGAGGGCCAGUGGAGGGAGCGGAGGGUGCGAGGAUCGGCUCCUCCGCAGGCCGGCCCUGGAGGGGUUCUUGGGGGAUCGCGCCAGGCCAAAAGUCUGCAUGGGCGGCCCCGAGCCUCCCUGAGCCGGCGCGCCCCGGGCGUGGGGAGAGGCCGCUCUGGGCGCGGUGCCGCUGCGGGCCCGGGUGCGGCGCUCGCCCAGGGCUAGGUGCCCCGUCUCAGGCGAGACCCCAGGAGCCCGCCGCCCCCGCUGUCUCUUCAGCCGACGUAGACACGUCGGGCGGGACCCCAGUCUACGCGUGUUCAAGCUCUGGGUCCCCAUAGAGCAGGGCCCCGCUGAAGAUGGUGAGCGGCUCCUCCGAGUGCGCCAGCUGCCCCAUGACCAGGUCGACGCAGACCGUGUCCCCGGCCUGCAGCGGCAGGAUGAGGCUGAAGACGCCCAGGGUGCCCGGGCUGGGCUGGCUCUCGGCCACCGGCUUAUUCUCCAGGCCCUCAGGCUCGUAGCCACCGGAGUCUACGCGGGCCACGCCCUGGUUGGAGCGGGACAGCACGGCCUCCACUUUCUCGUGCCGGUGCCCAGUCAGCACCGCGCUCAGCAAGUAGCGUCCAGCCAGUGGCGCUGUGAACACGCCUGGGGACAAGGAUAGCAGUCAGGGGGGCCAGGGAAGCUCCGGGGAGCGCACCAGAACUCCUGGACUGAGGAGGGACCCUCUGGGUCUUUUCACCUCACUGGAAUGUGAGCGGCAGGGAACUGGGGGCUUUGUUCACUAUGCAUUCCCAGCACUUAAAACAGUGCCUGGGCAGGAGCAGGCCCCAGUAAAGAUCUGCUGAAUGAAUGAAUGACUACUUCUUCUCCCCACUGCCUGAGAAUGAAUAAAUGAAGAAAGAGCCGGGGUCUCCCCAAAUCAGAGAAUGAAGAUUCACACUGUCGGAAAAGGCAAGAAUGGGAAGAUAUCACUGCACACCUCACCCAUUUCUCCAACCGUUCAACCCAGCCCCUCCCAGGACUACCUGUCUCUGGAUCAUAAUAGCCUCCAUCAUUGAGCAGGACUCUGUCGAAGGGGACCGUGCCUGGUUCAGACCGGGGCAAACUCAGAGCAGCUGAAAAUGCCACUUGGGGCACAGGGGCUGCUGGUGCCCCCUCCACUCCUGAGUGGGAAGGGUGGAUGUUAAAGGGGAUGCUCAGG
Molecule: long non-coding RNA, 1453 nt
Filed under: Homo sapiens (human)
Lineage: Eukaryota; Metazoa; Chordata; Mammalia; Primates; Hominidae
Description: non-protein coding lnc-CGREF1-1:1
Source: RNAcentral